Molecule: ribosomal RNA, 298 nt
Filed under: uncultured bacterium
Lineage: Bacteria
Description: partial 16S ribosomal RNA
Rfam family: Bacterial small subunit ribosomal RNA
Source: RNAcentral
GAUGAACGCUAGCUACAGGCUUAACACAUGCAAGUCGCGGGGUCUGUUUCGGCAGACGACCGGCGCGCGGGUGAGUAACGCGUAUCCAACCUGCCCCUCUCUUUGGCAUAGCCUUUCAAAAGAGAGAUUAAUUCCGAAUAACAUAGUUUAGUUGCAUGAUUCGACUAUGAAAGCUCCGGCGGAGAGGGAUGGGGAUGCGUUCCAUUAGGUAGUAGGCGGGGUAACGGCCCACCUAGCCGGCGAUGGAUAGGGGUUCUGAGAGGAAGGUCCCCCACAUUGGAACUGAGACGCGGUCCAA